This 504-nucleotide ribosomal RNA is filed under the name uncultured bacterium. RNAcentral describes it as "partial 16S ribosomal RNA". It matches the Rfam family "Bacterial small subunit ribosomal RNA", at positions 28 to 523 of the family's 1533-position model. The record is from RNAcentral.
GAUGAACGCUAGCGGCAGGCUUAAUACAUGCAAGUCGAGGGGCAGCAGGACGGUAGCAAUACCGUUGCUGGCGACCGGCAAACGGGUGCGGAACACGUACGCAACCUACCCAUAACUGGGGGAUAGCCCGGGGAAACCCGGAUUAAUACCUCGUAACAUCGAGAAGUGGCAUCACUUUUUGAUUAUAGCUCCGGCGGUUAUGGAUGGGCGUGCGCCUGAUUAGGUAGUUGGCGGGGUAACGGCCCACCAAGCCUGCGAUCAGUAACUGGUGUGAGAGCACGACCAGUCACACGGGCACUGAGACACGGGCCCGACUCCUACGGGAGGCAGCAGUAAGGAAUAUUGGUCAAUGGACGCAAGUCUGAACCAGCCAUGCCGCGUGAAGGAUGAAGGUCCUCUGGAUUGUAAACUUCUUUUAUAUGGGACGAAACCCGGGUAUUCCUACCCGAUUGACGGUACCAUAGGAAUAAGCACCGGCUAACUCCGUGCCAGCAGCCGCCGUAA